GUGUAUACCAAGUUAUAAUGUUCAAACUUUUGCCAUAACUGUAUAUUUGUGUGUCUGUCUGAGUGUCUGUUGUCAACUUAAACCUUCACCAUAACUUUAGAACUAUAUGAGAUAGUGGCUUCAUAUUUAGUAUGUAUACUCCACUAAUGAAGUGCUUUCAAAUGGCAACAAGGACAAUGAUUAUGUGAUCUUGACUGUGACCUGUAUGCUAAAAAAAAUUGCAUUUUCGAACUUUGUUGCUGUGUUUCACAAGCGCAUCUUGUUUUUAGCUCUACUUGUCAGAGACCAGAAGAGCUUAUGCGAUAGUAAUGCGUACGUCCGUCUGUCUGUCUGUCCGUCUAUCUGCAAACACUACUCCUCCUUAAAUUUUAGUCUGAUUUCAAUAUAACUUGGCACACAAGUAGACUAUACUAAGAUACAUAAUUCUGUGCAUCAGUUUUUGAUAAGUACAAACCAGUAGAGCUACAGUCUCGACAGAGACUUCUUGUUAUUUUUUCUUCCAUCCCGGUUGUUGCUAAUGCUAUUACAUAAUUAGUUUGAAUUAGAAUGCAAUAGUACCUGGACAUAAUUUAUCAUUUCAGAGAGAAGAAAACUGUGUGACUUUAAAAGAAAACCAGUGAGAUAAAAUCAUAGAAAAUGUAUGAUGAUUCAGGAUGUGGUCAUUUGUGACAUUAAAACAGGAAUUGUCAUCACCAAUAGACUAAUUUCACAUUCCUUAGAGUUUUCUCCAAUUGUCGGUAUAUCGCUCAUUUUCCCCACUUUGUCCUUUGUCCUGUUCUGUGGAUGCCCUAAGACAGUGUCUACCCAUCACUCCAUCUGAAAUCACU
Long non-coding RNA from Saccostrea cuccullata (small rock oyster), 827 nucleotides. RefSeq lists it as uncharacterized. The transcript is spliced from 3 exons. Lineage: Eukaryota; Metazoa; Mollusca; Bivalvia; Ostreida; Ostreidae. The record is from RefSeq and is a predicted model, not a curated record.